This 1058-nucleotide ribosomal RNA is filed under the name Acinetobacter baumannii OIFC065. Its description in RNAcentral is "bacterial SSU rRNA". It matches the Rfam family "Bacterial small subunit ribosomal RNA", at positions 8 to 1060 of the family's 1533-position model. Lineage: Bacteria; Pseudomonadati; Pseudomonadota; Gammaproteobacteria; Moraxellales; Moraxellaceae. The record is from RNAcentral.
AGAGUUUGAUCAUGGCUCAGAUUGAACGCUGGCGGCAGGCUUAACACAUGCAAGUCGAGCGGGGGAAGGUAGCUUGCUACUGGACCUAGCGGCGGACGGGUGAGUAAUGCUUAGGAAUCUGCCUAUUAGUGGGGGACAACAUCUCGAAAGGGAUGCUAAUACCGCAUACGUCCUACGGGAGAAAGCAGGGGAUCUUCGGACCUUGCGCUAAUAGAUGAGCCUAAGUCGGAUUAGCUAGUUGGUGGGGUAAAGGCCUACCAAGGCGACGAUCUGUAGCGGGUCUGAGAGGAUGAUCCGCCACACUGGGACUGAGACACGGCCCAGACUCCUACGGGAGGCAGCAGUGGGGAAUAUUGGACAAUGGGGGGAACCCUGAUCCAGCCAUGCCGCGUGUGUGAAGAAGGCCUUAUGGUUGUAAAGCACUUUAAGCGAGGAGGAGGCUACUCUAGUUAAUACCUAGGGAUAGUGGACGUUACUCGCAGAAUAAGCACCGGCUAACUCUGUGCCAGCAGCCGCGGUAAUACAGAGGGUGCGAGCGUUAAUCGGAUUUACUGGGCGUAAAGCGUGCGUAGGCGGCUUAUUAAGUCGGAUGUGAAAUCCCCGAGCUUAACUUGGGAAUUGCAUUCGAUACUGGUGAGCUAGAGUAUGGGAGAGGAUGGUAGAAUUCCAGGUGUAGCGGUGAAAUGCGUAGAGAUCUGGAGGAAUACCGAUGGCGAAGGCAGCCAUCUGGCCUAAUACUGACGCUGAGGUACGAAAGCAUGGGGAGCAAACAGGAUUAGAUACCCUGGUAGUCCAUGCCGUAAACGAUGUCUACUAGCCGUUGGGGCCUUUGAGGCUUUAGUGGCGCAGCUAACGCGAUAAGUAGACCGCCUGGGGAGUACGGUCGCAAGACUAAAACUCAAAUGAAUUGACGGGGGCCCGCACAAGCGGUGGAGCAUGUGGUUUAAUUCGAUGCAACGCGAAGAACCUUACCUGGCCUUGACAUACUAGAAACUUUCCAGAGAUGGAUUGGUGCCUUCGGGAAUCUAGAUACAGGUGCUGCAUGGCUGUCGUCAGCU